This 73-nucleotide ribosomal RNA is filed under the name Staphylococcus aureus. RNAcentral describes it as "partial 23S ribosomal RNA". Lineage: Bacteria; Bacillati; Bacillota; Bacilli; Caryophanales; Staphylococcaceae. The record is from RNAcentral.
AUAGGACGGGGGUGUAAGCACGAAGCUUCGGCGACGUGUUCAGCCCGCCGUUACUAAUCGUCCGAUCCGUUGA